UGCGUCUCAGUUUGCCUCAGACUUAAGUGGCUGGUGGAAGUGAGAGAUCUCUAAAGAUUCACCCAAUCCCAUUGUUCUAAGGUAAUAAAUCCUAUAAUUGCUGUAUCCUCAGAACCCAGCACGGGGCACUGCAUACGGUAGAUCUGCUUAACCAUGUACCAAAUGCAUCCGCCUCUUCCCCAACAUCCAUUACUACUGGAACCCACCAAGAACUGAAUUCCAUGGUACUUCUCAGGAUUCUUGAGGUCUGGACUAAGCCCUGGAUUGGGAAAGACGUGUUUAUGAUGCAGACCAGUUGGGGAGAUUUUUCUUGAAGGAGCAGCAGCUUGGGAAUAGCUGACCUGGUGAGAGCAUUCCUCUUCAUCUUGGCUCUGUCUGCUGUAGUUGGGGGUGAGUAGGGGUUUCAGCAGUAGAGGAAUGGGAGCCCAGAGAGACGGUGAUGAAUGAGAAGGAGACAAACAGCUCUAGCCUGUGUGCUCCUGUCUUGUUGAGGCUGAGGGCCUGCAGGGACAUUCUGAGUGAAGAACAUGCCAGGCCCACCUGUGGACUCCAGUCGCUGGUGAUGAAGGUAGCCAGAUGUGGGUGUCGGUUAAAGCACCUGUCAUUCUGGAUAAGGAUAGCAUGUUCAUAAAAGGGAAAUGAGUGGAGAAGGAGGGAAGGAGUUGUGAGCAAAGCAUUUAAAGCGUUGCCAGAAUAUAAGCAACAGUGCUUCAUGUCGUGAAAAACUGAGAAAAGGAGUCUUUAUGUACAGGAAGAACUCAGCAGCUGACCUCAAGAAGAAAGGAAAACAUCCUCUCUUCACUUUUCUCUGGGAUGCCUGUGCCCAGGGUCUUGAGUUUCCGACUGGGGCAUAAUGGAUUUUUGGUGGCCUGUGACUUUAUUAUGGGUCUUUUCCCAAAGUGUUUUGAAAUGGUAUGAAAGAGUGUAUUCAGUUAGAAACCUUGAGUUCUACUCCCAGGCUACUUAGAGGUUGUUUUGCAAACUUGAACAAGUCAAGUAAACCUGACUUCAACUCUACGCAAUGGAUUAUGCAAUGGUUGAAGUUCUAAGCUUGGAAGUUUCCAAUGAGAACAAAUAGGGGUGGUGAGAGCUGCCCUGCCCCUUUCAGGGACAUUAAGAGGGUCACCAGGCAGGUGAAUGUGACAGUGCCCUAAAGUUAUGAAGAAAUCUGUGCAAAACUGUAUGUUGUUAUAGUUCUUCUUGGGGCUGAUGCACCGUGACCCCUUCAACAGUUGAUGAAUCAUGGGAUAAUUGUUGAUGAGUCAUGGGAUAGGUGCUGCUUCAAGGGAUGUGGAUGUAGGUUGGACAGAGGCCGACCCCAACUCUCUACUCAUUUGCACUGUGCAUGGCAAAUUUGUUCUGGGAGUUUCUGCUUUGCUCCUGUCUUAAGCCAUCAGACCACGUGUUCAGUAGUCCAGCCCUGGCCACAGCCUCUCUGCCUGGCUGGGCCCAGGCUACUUCUAAACUCUCUGUUUUUUUUAUUUUAUUUUAUUUUUAUUUUUUUUUAUUUCAGAUUUUAUCCAACAUGGAUGUCUUGAUCCAAGAGAAAAAAAGGGAUCCCUUCAAAGUCCUUUCCCCAGUUUCCUGCUUAGUCCCACUCCUAGAGCCCUAGGGGGUUCUGUAGCUCCUCUAUAUUUUCAGGGAACUGAGCUGAAGCCAAUACGAGAUUUUAAAAGAUACCCUAUCCUUAAGCAAAGUGCAGAUCCUGAGACUCAGAGAGGUUAAGAAACUCGCCCAACGCCACACAGCUAGAUAAACACCUCAGGAUUUAAAUAGAUUGCAGGGGACACCAACAAGGCUCUGCUCAGAUCCCCUCAGAUCCCUCUGGCCCAUCUGUGCAUGCAGUAACAUCUGCUUCACCGUUGACUGCUUGAACCUGUGGAUCCACUUCACCUAAGAGCACAGAGAGCUGAAAGGGCCUGGAAUCCUGUUGCCUCCCGGGCAGCCUGCAGCCAAUGAGUAACUGGUGCUGGAAAACAGAAGGCUGCUCCCUUGCUGGAGUGAACAUGCAUUAUUUGUGUAAUAAACAGAAACAAAAAUCUCGUUGUUUAAAGCCAUCCAUGAAGACCAUGUGAGAGGGUGGAAAAGGGAGGCUGGAUUCUACUAAUUGGAUUGGAGGAAGAUGUAGCAAGGAAGAAGAAAUGGGCCCUUGGCAUGUGGCAGGGAGGGGACCUACUUAAUCAAACUCAAUGAUAACAGGAGUAACGGUGAUUAAACUUCUUUGAUUCAAC
RNAcentral lists this long non-coding RNA (2231 nucleotides) under Homo sapiens (human). RNAcentral's name for it is "HSALNT0232420". The record is from RNAcentral. Lineage: Eukaryota; Metazoa; Chordata; Mammalia; Primates; Hominidae.